RNAcentral lists this ribosomal RNA (499 nucleotides) under uncultured delta proteobacterium. Its description in RNAcentral is "partial 16S ribosomal RNA". The record is from RNAcentral. Lineage: Bacteria; Deltaproteobacteria.
CACGGAGUUAGCCGGUGCUUCCUUUGCAGGUACCGUCAAUUCACUGCUGAUUAGCACAGUGACCAUUCUUCCCUGCUGACAGAGGUUUACGAUCCGAAGACCUUCAUCCCUCACGCGGCGUCGCUGCGUCAGGCUUUCGCCCAUUGCGCAAUAUUCCCCACUGCUGCCUCCCGUAGGAGUCUGGACCGUGUUCCAGUUCCAGUGUGACUGAUCAUCCUCUCAGACCAGUUAACCAUCGUCGCCUUGGUAGGCCUUUACCCCACCAACUAGCUAAUGGUACGCGGACUCAUCGGAAAGCAACAGCAUAUGCAGAGGCCGUCUUUCCCACAUACGUUUAUAUGUAGUGUAUCCGGUAUUAGCAACCGUUUCCAGCUGUUAUUCCGAACUUCCCGGUAGAUUAUCCACGCGUUACUCACCCGUGCGCCACUUUACUCAUACCCGAAGGUACUUUCACGUUCGACUUGCUAUGUGUAAGCACGCCGCCAGCGUUCAAUCUACG